GAUGAAGAACGCAGCGAAAUGCGAUAAGUAAUUUGAAUUGCAGAAUUCAGUGAAUCAUCGAAUCUUUGAACGCACAUUGCGCCCGCCAGUAUUCUGGCGGGCAUGCCUGUUCGAGCGUCAUUUCAACCAUCAAGCCCCAGGCUUGUGUUGGGGACCUGCGGCUGCCGCAGGCCCUGAAAACCAGUGGCGGGCUCGCUGUCACACCGGGCGUAGUAGAUUUUAUCUCGCUCAGGGCGUGCUGCGGGUCCCGGCCGUUAAAAGCCUUUUUUUACCCAAGGUUGACCUCGGAUCAGGUAGGAAGACCCGCUGAACUUAAGCAUAUCAAUAAGCGGAGGA
Molecule: unclassified non-coding RNA, 336 nt
Filed under: soil metagenome
Description: partial contains 5.8S ribosomal RNA, internal transcribed spacer 2, and large subunit ribosomal RNA
Rfam family: 5.8S ribosomal RNA (bases 1-120)
Source: RNAcentral